This is a long non-coding RNA of Gasterosteus aculeatus aculeatus (three-spined stickleback), 997 nucleotides long. The record is from Ensembl. NCBI's taxonomy places the organism in Eukaryota, Metazoa, Chordata, Actinopteri, Perciformes, Gasterosteidae.
CUUCAGCUCCCCAACAGGACUGAACAAAGGACAUCUCUCUGCUGCUCGCAAACACUCCCGCGCACUUCCAAAUGCUGGUCCCUCCCCAUCAGAUAUGCUCCAAGUCUAGACAACGUACCGGCGGACGGAGCAAGAAAAUGAGGAGGACCGGUUAGUGGCUCCUGGCUGACUGAGUCGGAUCCGACACCAUUAGUCCGACUCGCCGGCUCAUGUGCACAACUGGCUUCUUAAAGAAGUUUAGGCCUGAGUAGCCUCGCAGACGCUGCGUUCCAGCCCCUCUGUUUUACAUCUGAGCCUGAUGAAUCCCUCACGUCUCCGGUAGGCCUGUCAUACCGCCAAUCACUGCAAGGACCCAUCACCACGGCAACAACGGGGGUGUCGUGGACACAUUCUGUUUUAUCGAUAGCAAUCACAAAACUAAUUUCUGUCGUCCUAGUCGUGCUGUCACACACGUGUAGGAUGCUGAGAGCAUCGAUCAUCGCCCUCGUAUCUCCUCUGAAGAAACAACACAAGCGAUCCACUCAGCUGGCAAAGAGAUGGAGACAAAGUGUCAGGACAGCGCUGAAGUACAUCAGAGAUGAUAUUAAAUUCAGGCCUUAAUGCCGAACAUCCCAAAAAAUAAAGCUUCAUCAACUCCAGCAAAUCAAAUCCAAUGACAAAUGACUAACAAACGGUAGCGGAUGAAGUAUUCAUCCUUUAUUUAACCUAUUUUAGAAACCAACUUCUCUGCUGGAAGGACGUUUGUCAUUAUCAUUUUAAAGAGAAAGCCUAGGAAAUAUGAAGUUGGCACAUGGAAUAUGAAAUAUGUGAGCAAUUACCAGGAAACAAGGGGGUAAAAAAGUUGCCACUUUGUUUCAUUAUAAGAAUUGUUGCACAGACCAAUUUAGGAGCUUGAGCCACACUGGAGCAGAUUUCUUUGCGAUUGGCCUCAGCUGCUCCGAUGUUGAUGUCUCAUUUUAAUAAGCUUUAUGAAACUGCAACGCAAAAAUGUUGUAGC